RNAcentral lists this ribosomal RNA (492 nucleotides) under uncultured bacterium. Its description in RNAcentral is "partial 16S ribosomal RNA". It matches the Rfam family "Bacterial small subunit ribosomal RNA", at positions 29 to 507 of the family's 1533-position model. The record is from RNAcentral.
AGUGAACGCUGGCGGUAGGCCUAACACAUGCAAGUCGAACGGCAGCACAGUAAGAGCUUGCUCUUACGGGUGGCGAGUGGCGGACGGGUGAGGAAUACAUCGGAAUCUACUUUUUCGUGGGGGAUAACGUAGGGAAACUUACGCUAAUACCGCAUACGACCUACGGGUGAAAGCAGGGGAUCUUCGGACCUUGCGCGAUUGAGUGAGCCGAUGUCGGAUUAGCUAGUUGGCGGGGUAAAGGCCCACCAAGGCGACGAUCCGUAGCUGGUCUGAGAGGAUGAUCAGCCACACUGGAACUGAGACACGGUCGAGACUCCUACGGGAGGCAGCAGUGGGGAAUAUUGGACAAUGGGCGCAAGCCUGAUCCAGCCAUACCGCGUGGGUGAAGAAGGCCUUCGGGUUGUAAAGCCCUUUUGUUGGGAAAGAAAAGCAGCAGGUUAAUACCCCGCUGUUCUGACGGUACCCAAAGAAUAAGCACCGGCUAACUUCGUG